GAAUAUUGGACAAUGUGCGAAAGCCUGAUCCAGCCAUGCCGCGUGUGUGAAGAAGGUCUUCGGAUUGUAAAGCACUUGUAGUUGGGAGGAAUGGCAGUAAGCGAAUACCUUGCUGUUUUGCCGUUACCGACAGAAUAAGCACCGGAUAACUCUGUGCCAGCAGCCGCGGUAAUACAGAGGGUGCAAGCGGUAAUCGGAAUUACUGGGCGUAAAGGGCGCGUAGGGGGGUAGUGAAAGUGAGUGUGAAAACCGCGGGCUAAACCUGGGAACUGCAUCCAAAACUGGCGAGCUAGAGUAGGGCAGAGGGUGGUGGAAUUUCCUGUGUAGCGGUGAAAUGCGUAGAUAUAGGAAGGAACACCAGUGGCGAAGGCGACCACCUGGGCUCAUACUGACACUGAGGUGCGAAAGCGUGGGGAGCAAAC
Molecule: ribosomal RNA, 422 nt
Filed under: uncultured bacterium
Lineage: Bacteria
Description: partial 16S ribosomal RNA
Rfam family: Bacterial small subunit ribosomal RNA
Source: RNAcentral